Mercenaria mercenaria is the source of this 1652-nucleotide long non-coding RNA. RefSeq lists it as uncharacterized. The transcript has 9 exons. Lineage: Eukaryota; Metazoa; Mollusca; Bivalvia; Venerida; Veneridae. The record is from RefSeq and is a predicted model, not a curated record.
UGAUUUGCAUGAUUCCUUUUACAGUACAGGAGAGAAUGGAAUGGACAAGCAGGUGACAUGUUGGUCAGAAUGAAGCUGGCAGAUGAAAAUGUGAACAAGAACCAUGAGAUGGUGGUAUUUCAGGGAAAUGUGGAGGAGAAGGGAUAUUGAUUUGCAUGAUUCCUUUCACAGUACAGGAGAGAAUGAACAGACAAACAGAUGACAUUCUGGUCAGAAUGAAGCUGACAAGAUGAAAAUGUGAAAAAGAACCAUGAGAUGUACAGGAGAGAAUGGAAUGGACAAGCAGGUGACAUGUUGGUCAGAAUGAAGCUGACAGAUGAAAACAGUCUACAAGAACCAUGAGAUGGCGGGUAUGUCGAAGUGAAACCUGAUGAUUCCUAGGAAGGCUGUCUUCGGCUGACUUGCAAAAAGCAUGGACACAUACCAAACUACAGGAACCACUGCCAUGUAACUGGAUUUUGCUGAGUGUAACAGGUCGGUGGAGAUGUUGGUAAAGUUCCACUAGCUAUACAUUAGAAAAUUCCACAAACAAUGUUAUGUUGGGAAAGUAACAUCAUAAUUAAAUAUGAUCAUCUGCAGUCAGUUAGUUUCAACAUUUACCAGUGGUCAUUUCCAGGAUAUUCCUAUUACUGAAUACAGGAGAUUGAUUAAAAUCUGUUCUAGUCUAUGAGGCUUGUAAACCAAGAGAAAGCCGUGCAGUGGUCAGUCAGUGUAAUACAUUGAUAAUACCUAUCUACCAGAAACCAGUUACACAGGCCAAGUCUUCCGACAUCCUUAGUUUAAGGAAAUAGGAGCAGAAAAAUAUACAGCUUUACUGUCUACCUGAAUACUGAUCUGGCAGUUUGAUACAGUAGUCAGUGAACUGCCAACUACCUGUUGAUACUAGACAUCUUGCCAGAGCAACGAGUGUCCAGGAUGCCGGUCUACCAGAGCAACGAGUGUCCAAGAUGCCGUCUACCAAAAGAAGACAGAAAAAUUCUUGAGAUGGAGCAUCAAGCAGCCAUUACGUUAACAGGAGUCCAAGAAGGAAUAUGAAGAACUCAAGGAGCACUGGUGUGACAGCUUUACACAUUCAUUAAAUCACACUGUGUAAUAUCCUAAAUAUCAAAGCAUCAACACUCCAACCACCAACCAGGGCUUACGAAGAGAAUGAUGAAUGGAUGAGGUCAAGAAGUUUUAAUGAAAUACAAAAACUAGAUAGACACCAGUCCUGAUGAUCACACUUGAUACCAAAAAUCAAUGCAUGAUUUCUGAUUUUUGUUUUAAGUUAAGAGACAACUACCAGUUUUUCAAGAUUUGUUAAAAGUAGUUGUCACAAUUUAUGGUGCUAAUUUAUGCUCAUAUUGUAAAAUCAUUUAAUUUCGUGGACAUGAAAUUUCAUGGUUUUGGUCAAAGGGGUAAUUUCAUGGGGAUACAUAUUCAUGAAUUUCAACUUUUUAACAUGAAACGUGUGGGCAUUUUUAUUGUUCAUUGGGAUUAAAUUUUUUCUUAAUCAACUCUAUGACAAAAUCCACGAAAAUUAGUCCUCUCAUGAAUGUUAAUGAUUUCACAGUAUUGUUUUAUGUAUAAAUAUGUGCUUAUAUAUUCUUUAUUCUAUAUUUAUGCUUGGAGUUGAUGAAACAUUUAGAAGAAUGGAAUAAAUUUUACAUCUA